UACGAAGGGGGCUAGCGUUGCUCGGAAUUACUGGGCGUAAAGCGCACGUAGGCGGUCUUUUAAGUCAGGGGUGAAAUCCUGGAGCUCAACUCCAGAACUGCCUUUGAUACUGAAGAUCUUGAGUUCGGGAGAGGUGAGUGGAACUGCGAGUGUAGAGGUGAAAUUCGUAGAUAUUCGCAAGAACACCAGUGGCGAAGGCGGCUCACUGGCCCGAUACUGACGCUGAGGCACGAAAGCGUGGGGAGCAAACAGG
Molecule: ribosomal RNA, 253 nt
Filed under: uncultured bacterium
Lineage: Bacteria
Description: partial 16S ribosomal RNA
Rfam family: Bacterial small subunit ribosomal RNA
Source: RNAcentral